CGUGCCUAACACAUGCAAGUCGAACGGAGUUGUUUCGCUGACGAGACUUCGGUCAAAUCUUGAAACAACUUAGUGGCGAACGGGUGAGUAACGCGUGAGGAACCUGCCUUUCAGAGGGGGACAACAGUUGGAAACGACUGCUAAUACCGCAUGAUACUUACGAACGGCAUCGUUUGUAAGUCAAAGAUUUAUCGCUGAAAGAUGGCCUCGCGUCUGAUUAGCUAGUUGGUGGGGUAACGGCCCACCAAGGCGACGAUCAGUAGCCGGACUGAGAGGUUGACCGGCCACAUUGGGACUGAGAUACGGCCCAGACUCCUACGGGAGGCAGCAGUGGGGAAUAUUGGGCAAUGGGCGCAAGCCUGACCCAGCAACGCCGCGUGAAGGAAGAAGGCCUUCGGGUUGUAAACUUCUUUUACCAGGGACGAAUAAUGACGGUACCUGGAGAAAAAGCAACGGCUAACUACGUG
RNAcentral lists this ribosomal RNA (467 nucleotides) under uncultured bacterium. RNAcentral describes it as "bacterial SSU rRNA". It matches the Rfam family "Bacterial small subunit ribosomal RNA", at positions 43 to 507 of the family's 1533-position model. The record is from RNAcentral.